This 433-nucleotide ribosomal RNA is filed under the name uncultured bacterium. RNAcentral describes it as "partial 16S ribosomal RNA". It matches the Rfam family "Bacterial small subunit ribosomal RNA", at positions 29 to 507 of the family's 1533-position model. The record is from RNAcentral.
AACGAACGCUGGCGGCAUGCCUAACACAUGCAAGUCGAACGAGACCUUCGGGUCUAGUGGCGCACGGGUGCGUAACGCGUGGGAACCUGCCCUUAGGUUCGGAAUAACUCCCCGAAAGGGGUGCUAAUACCGGAUAAUGUCUUCGGACCAAAGAUUUAUCGCCUUUGGAUGGGCCCGCGUUGGAUUAGCUAGUUGGUAGGGUAAAAGCCUACCAAGGCGACGUUCCAUAGCUGGUCUGAGAGGAUGAUCAGCCACACUGGGACUGAGACACGGCCCAGACUCCUACGGGAGGCAGCAGUGGGGAAUAUUGGACAAUGGGGGAAAGCCUGAUACAGCCAUGCCGGGUGAGUGAUGAAGGCCUUAGGGUUGUAAAGCUCUUUUACCCGGGAUGAUAAUGACGGUACCGGGAGAAGAAGCACCGGCUAACUCCGUG